Onychostoma macrolepis is the source of this 1886-nucleotide long non-coding RNA. RefSeq lists it as uncharacterized. NCBI's taxonomy places the organism in Eukaryota, Metazoa, Chordata, Actinopteri, Cypriniformes, Cyprinidae. The transcript is spliced from 6 exons. The record is from RefSeq and is a predicted model, not a curated record.
GCAAAAACAUAUUUAAACUAAAAUUGCAUUUCAGCUCUCCUAAACAACACAUCAUUUGUGGAUUCGUUCAUGGCAGAUUACUGUUUGUGGUUUAUUCAAAAUGUAAGCAAUAUUAAUUAAUAACAGAAAACUGAAACUUUCCAAAUCAAUGCGAACGCAAUGGGUUUGUCGUUUUAUUCGGGAUUCCUGAUAAAUGGGUCCUUAAAGCCUCUUAUUUCAGGCCUGAUGAAGGACUCCGGCAGUUUGCCGGCAGGAUUUGUAAUUACAGUGGUUUAGCUCAGCAAAUAUUCUCUCCCAAGCCAAUCAAUAGAGAAAUCAGCAGCUAAACUGGCUGUUAACCCAGUGCUUUACAAAGAUCUCCUCCUCUGGGCCUUCAUUUGCUGUUAACGUGGCCAAACAGUAUCGAUUUUGAUGACUGUGUUAAUAAACACCUUCAAUUUUUAAUCCUGCUUUAAAGGAACACUCAACACAGAUGUAAUGAGCGGCUGAAAUAUGGCGGUGCAAACGCAGUGAUUUAUUGACUCGUUGACAGCAUUAGUCUUCUCUAACAUGUAAUGGACUUCUGAUCGUUCUGUUCCGAAGAAGGGGAAAUUACAUUUGGGGAAUGGAAAUGCUGUAACACGGACUGAUCUGCAUAAUGAUCUUUAAACCGGGACGCCCAUCGCCGCUCACACAGAGAAAAGCCAUGUUUAUGUGUUUGUUUGCAGAUGUGUUUUCUGUCCUGUUUGUUCUCGGCUCGUCUUCAGGGAUUCGCUGCAGAAACAUCAUGCACAUGUGUCUGCGAAUGCGAGCAGAGCGGAUUGAAAUGAGGCGUUUCAGUGUCAUUGGAAGGUGUUUUUUUUUUGUUUUUUUUAUUCCUGUGUCCCUGAAGUGACGUCAUGUUGAUUCUGUUACAGACCAUGGAUUCAACUAAAAAUCUUCUUUACUGUUCUACUGAAGACAAAAAUUCAUCUACAUCUUGGAUGUCCUGACAUCGGUCAAUCUAUCAGGACUUCAUUGAGUCCCGUGAUCCUGAGGGUCCAGAUACAUGCGCGUCUCCCAGGCUUGUGUAGGGAAAAGCCGGGCCUUGUUUUCCAAAGGCUUUGACAAUCCGGCAGUCAGGCUUCAGUGGGCAGCGUUUGCUCCGUGACAGCCAGUAUUGUUCCCAGAGUGACGGGGUCCAGAGCCGCCCGGAGCGACAAACACCGCGGAUGAAAUGCAUUCGAGAUUUCAUUCCCGCUCUUCAAAUGCUGUAAGUCUGAUUCAAUAAUGAGUUUACAUAUGGCAGGACGUGAGGAGGAAGCCGUCCAAACAAGAUCAGGCCUCCGCCGGACUACACUCUGUAUGAAAUUGUUUGUUCAUUCCUUGCCAAUUAUCAUUUUCUCCUCAGAAUAACUAACUGCGGCCUCUUUUUUAUCUUUGUGUUGAUGCAUAGCAGGGGAAGUAGGGCCGGCUGGAGAUCUGGCUCAGGUCAGAGAUGACUUUCACUUCUCUAAUUGGAUUUGCUGCUGCCAGUGUCGAGCUCACAGGGCUGGACGGACGCCAGUCCACUGCAUCUGGGUUCGGUCCUUCAAGCUUCAGCGCUUCACUGAUUCUCAUUCAUUACGCUGGCGUGUGAAGGCGUAACUCGGAAUAGGGAGAUUGGAGGCAAAGCACAGAGUAACUUCCAACUGGAAAUGCAGGCCAUGUGUAAUCCACAAACUGUUGAAUCAUCCCAGCAUAUGAUGGAAUAACCGCAGAGCCUUGAUGUCUGCUGUCUUUCUCACUCUUUGAGCGUUAUCAUAGGCAGCAGCUCCACAUGAAGCACAGAGGAGAUCGACUCACAACUGAAUCCAGCAGAGCUUGACGUUAUCAUGUUGCUAAGCAAUACUCUAAUGUGGUGAAAAACAUCACACAAAUAUUGAGUA